CUUCCCAGCUUUGACAACAAGCUUCCCCAUUUCUUCUUUAUCACUCUACAACACAAAAAAGGUUAUGAUAAGAUUAACACAAAACAGAUGCUGAAGGAGACCGACGCCGAAGGAGAGAAGAGAGAAGAUAGGGAGAGAUCGACGCAGAAGGAGACCAAAGUCAAGAAUAGAAGUCAUGAAAGCCGAAGCUAAAAGACGUAUUAGCUUUUCUUCUUUUUUGGCCGUUCCACAUUGACAACAUUUGGCUUAAAGAAGACAGAAGAUGCAAGAUUAAUGAAAAGCUUUGAAGAACAUUAGAAUCCAAGAGAGUAACAGGGAUAGACUCGGUCUCCUUCAAUGAUAAAAGGAGGUGAUUCGAGAGCUAAUGAAGAGGAUUCAAAUAAGACUAUUUAGAAAAUAGAAAAGAGAGUGGAAAUGAAAAAAAGGCUACUCUUUGUAAGAAAACCCGAAAGAGAAUAAACAAAGGCAUAAUUUAGGGUGACUAUAGAUAAAUUAAU
This 497-nucleotide long non-coding RNA is filed under the name Carica papaya (papaya). RNAcentral's name for it is "long non-coding RNA (CPAP_LNC009889)". Lineage: Eukaryota; Viridiplantae; Streptophyta; Magnoliopsida; Brassicales; Caricaceae. The record is from RNAcentral.